Lemur catta (Ring-tailed lemur) is the source of this 566-nucleotide long non-coding RNA. RefSeq lists it as uncharacterized. The transcript has 3 exons. Lineage: Eukaryota; Metazoa; Chordata; Mammalia; Primates; Lemuridae. The record is from RefSeq and is a predicted model, not a curated record.
GGUGCGCCCAGGUCUUCCUCCGACUCCAGCCUGGCGAGGUUUCUACUCAUUUUGCACUUCUGGGAAGUAUCCCUGUGUCUCUGAAAUGCUGGGAACUCGGUCAGCGUUUGACAGGGGCCUCCCACUGUGACACCUUGGCACCCCAGAGUGGAGGCCAGUGGGGUCUGACGUUCUCACAAGUCCAUGCACUGAGGGCAUGCUGGAAUCCCAGGGUUACUGGAGCCCACUGGCCUCCACCGUGUCCAAGCCCUGUCUGGGCCACAAGUCAGCACCUGACCCGUUCAACCUGGGUGACCAUUGAUCUGCUUUUACCUCCACGGACUGAUUCUACCUGUGCUGGAACUUCAUAUGGAUGGAAUCCUACAGUAUGCAGUUACGAGUCUAGCUGCUUCGCUCAACAUAAUGCUUUGGGGAUUCGUCUAGUUCAUGCACAGAUCAAUAGUUCAUUCUUUCCACAGACGAGGAGAUUUUCACUGAGUGAAUACACCAGGACUUGAUGCCUGGUGCUGGAGAUUUGUUUUCUUUGGUUUUAGACUAUUAUAAAUAAAGCUGUGGAUAUUUGUGCA